UAGGUUGGUAAGCCCUAAGGUUAUAGGUGCGUGAGCGGAAUGUGAACUUAUAGCGAUCGCGAAAGUUAAUUAGAUUAGGUCGGAGUUGGUAAUAUGUCUCUAGUUGUGAUUAGAGACGGACUCAAGUCGUAUGAGUUCUUGUCUUGAGGAGGUUGUGUCGGCGGCCGACGACAUGAUACGAAGAGUCUAAAACGAGUGCACUUGUGUGCUUCCGCCCGAUUUUAUGGUUGAGUCGUCAUGUGUCGUAAUGGCGACGAGGUAAUUGGUUAAGAUGA
Molecule: long non-coding RNA, 275 nt
Filed under: Ananas comosus (pineapple)
Lineage: Eukaryota; Viridiplantae; Streptophyta; Magnoliopsida; Poales; Bromeliaceae
Description: long non-coding RNA (ACOM_LNC043333)
Source: RNAcentral